AAGACCUCGCGCUAUUGGAGCGGCCGAUGUCCGAUUAGCUAGUUGGUGGGGUAAUGGCCCACCAAGGCGACGAUCGGUAGCUGGUCUGAGAGGAUGAUCAGCCACACUGGGACUGAGACACGGCCCAGACUCCUACGGGAGGCAGCAGUGGGGAAUUUUGGACAAUGGGCGAAAGCCUGAUCCAGCCAUGCCGCGUGAGCGAAGAAGGCCUUCGGGUUGUAAAGCUCUUUCGGCCGGAACGAAAUCGCGCGAGCUAACACCUCGCGUGGAUGACGGUACCGGAAGAAGAAGCACCGGCUAACUACGUGCCAGCAGCCGCGGUAAUACGUAGGGUGCAAGCGUUAAUCGGAAUUACUGGGCGUAAAGCGUGCGCAGGCGGUUUUGUAAGUCAGAUGUGAAAUCCCCGAGCUCAACUUGGGAACU
Molecule: ribosomal RNA, 423 nt
Filed under: uncultured bacterium
Lineage: Bacteria
Description: bacterial SSU rRNA
Rfam family: Bacterial small subunit ribosomal RNA
Source: RNAcentral